CCUGAAUGUUCCAGUCCUGUGAUCCCCAGUCUGUCCUGCCUGUCUGCCUCCCUUGACCCGGGCACACUACCUAUCGUGUAACAAUAGCGGGGUACAGCGGACGGGUGCAGCAGCAAAACCUAUUAAAGCCACCUAAACAGAUCCAUACCAUUGGAAGUUCAGUGUCUGGGGCUCACUGCGAUGGAGGCUGACCCGGGGGACUUCUUUUCCCAGGAGCAACACCCUCCUUCACUUCAUGCAACACC
Eleginops maclovinus (Patagonian blennie) is the source of this 245-nucleotide long non-coding RNA. RefSeq lists it as uncharacterized. The transcript is spliced from 3 exons. The record is from RefSeq and is a predicted model, not a curated record. Lineage: Eukaryota; Metazoa; Chordata; Actinopteri; Perciformes; Eleginopidae.